This 497-nucleotide ribosomal RNA is filed under the name uncultured bacterium. Its description in RNAcentral is "partial 16S ribosomal RNA". It matches the Rfam family "Bacterial small subunit ribosomal RNA", at positions 28 to 507 of the family's 1533-position model. The record is from RNAcentral.
GAUGAACGCUGGCGGCGUGCCUAAUACAUGCAAGUCGAGCGAACAGACGAGGAGCUUGCUCCUCUGACGUUAGCGGCGGACGGGUGAGUAACACGUGGAUAACCUACCUAUAAGACUGGGAUAACUUCGGGAAACCGGAGCUAAUACCGGAUAAUAUAUUGAACCGCAUGGUUCAAUAGUGAAAGACGGUUUUGCUGUCACUUAUAGAUGGAUCCGCGCCGCAUUAGCUAGUUGGUAAGGUAACGGCUUACCAAGGCGACGAUGCGUAGCCGACCUGAGAGGGUUAUCGGCCACACUGGAACUGAGACACGGUCCAGACUCCUACGGGAGGCAGCAGUAGGGAAUCUUCCGCAAAGGGCGAAAGCCUGACGGAGCAACGCCGCGUGAGUGAUGAAGGUCUUCGGAUCGUAAAACUCUGUUAUUAGGGAAGAACAAAUGUGUAAGUAACUAUGCACGUCUUGACGGUACCUAAUCAGAAAGCCACGGCUAACUACGUG